Molecule: long non-coding RNA, 1593 nt
Filed under: Salmo salar (Atlantic salmon)
Lineage: Eukaryota; Metazoa; Chordata; Actinopteri; Salmoniformes; Salmonidae
Description: lncRNA (ENSSSAG00000094193.1)
Source: RNAcentral
AAGCCCGCCGGGAAGAAACGGUGACCUCAACAAGAUGAUAUGGUGUUUAAAAACACUUUCAAACCCCCUCUCAAAAGGUUCUCGACAAAGAACAAAAACCUUCGCAUACUUAGUGGUUGCCAUGGCACGGCCUCACAAUGUUUUUUACAUCAUAGAGGGUGUUACUACAUUCCAUACAUUCUUAAGAGAUCAGAGGGAUAUUUUGGCGUGUAAUAUGGGCUCCACCUCAUGAAGCUGAUGUAUGGAACCACUAUCCACAAUGCUGGGAUAUCUGGCACUCCCUGAUUAAGGAAGUGGUGGAGGAGAGCAUUCCCUGCAGGACACAGGAAAGGAAGAGGCCGUCCACAGCCAGGCAACACAGGCAUGAAUACUCCAGUGCCUCAGGCAGUGUGCGGAUCACAGAUGUCCAGCUGCAGGGUCUGUUAAUGAGGCUGGGGAACUCCUCCCAGAGAGAGCAGGACAUUGGGGGGGGAAUGUCCCAUUGCAGAGUUCCGCUUCCCUCCCAGAACACUCCUACAGCCAGCUAGCUCUGUUACGGUAGGCCUGUGAUGAAAACACAGGCAUUAAUCCUUUGGGGAACAUUGGUGUAGGUUGUCAUAGUGUGUCAUCUUUUGUUUACAAAAAAAGCCUCAUUUAAUUUUCAGUUGAACAACUUAAUCAAUCCUUCUAGGAGGUGGCUUAUGCUUUCACAGAGGUUGUGUAAAGUUUUGAACGUGAUUUGUACUGUACACAUGAUUUGCACUGUACUGUAAGGUUUGGUUUGAAGCCUCUGGAAGGAAGACACAGAGCCCAGGGGACUUCCUUUGGGUUGGAGCGCAUCAUGUUGGGACCAGAGUGCACCAGAGUCCUAUGCAAAGACAAUGGCCAAGCCAUAGCAUGGUACACACCUGCACGCUGUACUGGGGUAAAGCCACACCAGGCCUGGGCUGAGCAUCAUGAAAAAGUGGAGAGCUGCAGAGAGGACACUUUGUCCUGUGAAGAGGCAAGCAUCCCUGCUACAGAGAUCAAAUGCCCUGACAAAAAAACCUUUCUUCUGAUUAAAAGGAAGAAGCAUGUGUUUAGGGUGUGCCACAGUCCGUGGACCCAGAACCCUUCAUCCAUAACCCAUCCUUCCUGCUCCCCCUGUGCUCUGCUAGACUUCCGGGUCCAGCCCCAGAGCAACCCUGCAAGGCCACUCACCGCCCUGUGUAGGAGGAAUGAUGUUCCUUGGCCCUCAGCCCCCCUGCGCCUCCCCCCUCCAGCAGUACCGCACUGCAGCUACACUCCACAACAGGGUUCUCACUGCUUAGAUGCAUGAAAGUCAAAGAGGUAGCUACUGCUGCACAGGCACAUGACUGUCCAGGGACUACGGACAUGAGACUGAAACCACCUUGGGCAAGCAGCAGAAACAGAGCCCCACUCUAAUCUUCAUCUGUCCUCCUACAGUUUCAUUAUAUCUAUUUUACAGAAGAUCCUCUGUACUGUCAGCUUUGGCAUCUAUUGGUUGCCUGUUUAAAUACAUUGUACAUGGUUAAAUGGUCACAAAUGUCAACAUUACUCAAUUGGAUAAAAUAAAAAAAACAUAUAAAAAAAUUCAAAAAUUAAAUAGGCAGG